AGAGUUUGAUCCUGGCUCAGGAUGAACGCUAGCUACAGGCUUAACACAUGCAAGUCGAGGGGCAGCAUGUUGGUUGCUUGCAACCAACGAUGGCGACCGGCGCACGGGUGAGUAACGCGUAUCCAACCUACCCUUGUCCAUCGGAUAACCCGUCGAAAGGCGGCCUAACACGAUAUGCGGUUCACAGCAGGCAUCUAACGUGGACGAAAUGUGAAGGAGAAGGAUGGGGAUGCGUCUGAUUAGCUUGUUGGCGGGGUAACGGCCACCAAGGCUACGAUCAGUAGGGGCUCUGAGAGGAAGGUCCCCCANAUUGGAACUGAGACACGGUCCAAACUCCUACGGGAGCA
Molecule: ribosomal RNA, 347 nt
Filed under: uncultured bacterium
Lineage: Bacteria
Description: bacterial SSU rRNA
Rfam family: Bacterial small subunit ribosomal RNA
Source: RNAcentral